UAUAGCUGUGCACUGAAAGUUGGACCUACCAACAAAUCAGGCCCCUGAACACUCUUCUUUUUAUUCCCCUUCACACAGAUGUUGUCCCAGAUGGUCUCACCUACCCGAUGCCCCAUGGACUAUGCUGGGCUGGAAUUUCUUCUGCAUGUUAUUUAUGUGUACUUGACCAAACUAGAGAGGCAGGAAUGCAGGUACGAUGUCCAGGUCGGCCCACCCCUUUCCUGCAGGCAGGCUGGAAGGAUUGGAACAGGAUGGCAUGGAGUAAACAUAUCUCAGCAGCUACCUGGAGCAGGUAGACUUUCACGACACUGAGAAGAGUCUAGAUCUUCGCUCUCCCGGUGGGCUAUGGGACACUCACUCAUCUCAAACCUUGGACGCUGUAUUUACAGAGUCCAAGGAUGGAAAUGACCUUAGAAGAUGGCUGGAAUUCCCAUUUUUCAAAGGGGCAAUAAUUUGUGUGUCCUUUUUGUGUGUUGGCACUUCAGAGCAAUGUUAAAAGAAGAAAAAACAAAAACAUAAAACCACUCCCACACGAUUGUGUAGUCAUUCUGAUCCCUAUUUUAACCAGGGAAUUUAAUGAGAGUUCCCCAAUCUGUGGAGAAAGGAGAAAAUGCCCACAGGGUGAGGAUUUGGCCGAUGCCUGUAGGUCUCUGUUGACAAAGCAGCCUUUGAAUCUGUGGUACCUCUGAAUGGAGUCCUACCAUCUUUCAAGGUUAUUGCCUGACUACAGGUUAAAUAUCUUAAUAUUCACUGAUUGGGGGAAAGCACUACGAGCAAAUUGAAUGCAAGGUCCAGGAACACCCAGGUCUUUGGUGACUAUAUAAAAUGUAAAUGCAUUCUUUAUUAUCUCAAGUCACUGCACGCCCAAGUGGCUCUUCUGUAAGAAAAACAUAGCUUGCUGAUAAUGAGCAUGAAAAUUACUAAGGAAUGGGCAGAGUAAAUCUCUCAAAUCUUUUCUGUCUCCGCCCUCCCCCCACCCCCAUUUCGGAACCAUGAUGUGACUUUGCUAAUUUGAGUAUGUGUCCCUGUCUAGAUUUUACAAAUAAACUUAAAGUUUAUCAAAGGAC
This 1067-nucleotide long non-coding RNA is filed under the name Mus musculus (house mouse). Its description in RNAcentral is "long non-coding RNA chr5:106111083-106112150". The record is from RNAcentral. Lineage: Eukaryota; Metazoa; Chordata; Mammalia; Rodentia; Muridae.